UUUGGUACUUUUAGCUUAAUAGAAACACUCUGAACCAUUCCGAACACUUGUAGUUAAAUAUUAAGCGGAUUAUUAUUACUUUGAAGGUCGCUUCGUGGAAACUUUAAUUUAGUGCCAAAA
Molecule: ribosomal RNA, 120 nt
Filed under: Discoplastis spathirhyncha
Lineage: Eukaryota; Euglenozoa; Euglenophyceae; Euglenales; Phacaceae
Source: RNAcentral